This 16-nucleotide ribosomal RNA is filed under the name Stylodactylus libratus. Its description in RNAcentral is "partial 5.8S ribosomal RNA". The record is from RNAcentral. Lineage: Eukaryota; Metazoa; Arthropoda; Malacostraca; Decapoda; Stylodactylidae.
UAAUAAUGAAGUUUGA